AAAAUAAUAAAAUUUAUACUUCAUAAUCAUGCUAUUUUCAUGAGAUAUAUUUAUAAAAUUAAUACUUAUAAUAAAUAUAUUUUUUCAUACCACACAUGUUGAUCUUUAUUUUAUGAAAAAUAUGAUUUCAUCAAUAAAAGAUUACAUGCAUGAAAACCAUGAAAGUUUAAAAAUAAAUAAGAAGUGUAAGAUCCACUUACCUCGAUCACCCU
RNAcentral lists this long non-coding RNA (212 nucleotides) under Elaeis guineensis (African oil palm). RNAcentral describes it as "long non-coding RNA (EGUI_LNC076064)". Lineage: Eukaryota; Viridiplantae; Streptophyta; Magnoliopsida; Arecales; Arecaceae. The record is from RNAcentral.